GACGAACGCUGGCGGCGUGCUUAACACAUGCAAGUCGAACGGUGAAGCGCCUUCCUUUUUGGUGGGUGUGGAUGAGUGGCGAACGGGUGAGUAACACGUGAGUAACCUGCCCCCUUCUUCUGGAUAACCGCAGGAAAGUGUGGCUAAUACGGGAUAUUCUGGGUCUGUCGCAUGAUGGGUCUGGGAAAGAUAUUGUUUCGGUGGGGGAUGGGCUCGCGGCCUAUCAGCUUGUUGGUGGGGUGAUGGCCUACCAAGGCGGUGACGGGUAGCCGGCCUGAGAGGGUGGGCGGUCACGCUGGGACUGCGCCGCGGCCCCGACUCCUACGGGAGGCAGCAGUGGGGAUUAUUGCACAAUGGGCGCAAGCCUGAUGCAGCGCCGCCGCGUGAGGGAUGGAGGCCUUCGGGUUGUGAACCUCUUUCGCCAGUGAAGCAGGCCUGCCUCGUUUGUGGGUGGGUUGACGGUAGCUGGAUAAGAAGCGCCGGCUAACUACGUG
Molecule: ribosomal RNA, 494 nt
Filed under: uncultured bacterium
Lineage: Bacteria
Description: partial 16S ribosomal RNA
Rfam family: Bacterial small subunit ribosomal RNA
Source: RNAcentral